AAGUCGAACGGUAACGAUCCUAGCUUGCUAGGAGGCGACGAGUGGCGAACGGGUGAGUAACGCGUAGGAAUCUACCUAGUAGUGGGGGAUAGCCAAGGGAAACUUUGGGUAAUACCGCAUACGAUCUACGGAUGAAAGGGGGCCUCUCUUUGAAGCUCUCGCUAUUAGAUGAGCCUGCGUCGGAUUAGCUUGUUGGUGAGGUAAAGGCUCACCAAGGCGACGACGGGUAGCCGGCCUGAGAGGGCGACCGGCCACACUGGGACUGAGACACGGCCCAGACUCC
Molecule: ribosomal RNA, 283 nt
Filed under: unidentified marine bacterioplankton
Lineage: Bacteria
Description: partial 16S ribosomal RNA
Rfam family: Bacterial small subunit ribosomal RNA
Source: RNAcentral